This is a long non-coding RNA of Gallus gallus (chicken), 4486 nucleotides long. RefSeq lists it as uncharacterized. The record is from RefSeq and is a predicted model, not a curated record. NCBI's taxonomy places the organism in Eukaryota, Metazoa, Chordata, Aves, Galliformes, Phasianidae. The transcript has 3 exons.
AGACAGGACAAGGGUUGUUUGUCAAACACACGUUUUUGCUUUCCCCCCAACGAGGACGUGUUCCUGACGCACGGCGUUCGUUUUCUGAGGAGACUCUGAGUGAUGGAAGAUCAACAAUAUCAGCAGUCUUCAUCUCAUUGCCUAUCUGAGGCAUCCUCAGUACAAAAUCAAAAAUACAUCAAGAAAAUGGGAAGAGGAACAAGAAAAAGGAAACAAAAGUAUGAAUUCUGUAAGAAAAAAAGAUGCGUAUUUUACAAAAAGUUUAAAUUGAUUAGAAAAUAUGUAAUCUUGAAACGUACAUCCUAUAAAAAACAAUCGUUCAGAAGUUCUUGUUGGAAGUGUAUAAACUGGAGCCUUUCUUGAAGCGAUUGUAGUAUUCUUAAUUAAAUUGUGUCUCUAACACAGUAAUAUCAAUUAGCUCUUUAGAAACCACAUUAUUCAUUUAUCAAGGAGACAACUUGACAUUACGCUGAAGGCAAUAAAAUAUAUCAGCCUGUAACAUGCACUGCUAGAGGGAACAGGCUUCAUUCAGAAUUACAUGGGCAGUGAAUCUCCACUAACUUCUGCAGAGCUGCACUGCUUCACCCAGCUCAGGGAAUUGCCUUAAUGGCACUAUAAACUUCCUUCAGAAGGUAUUCAGUUGCUUGUUUUCUUUACAUAGCCAUGAAGAAAAUCAUACUGUCAUUGGAAUUGCUCUGUUGUGUAUGGGGUUGUGAGUUCUUUGCUCUAAAUAUGCUUUCUAAUGUGAGGGGAGAGAUGGGCAAAAAUCAGUUUGAGGGGAGAAUGACAACUGAAAUCGAUAAAAAGCAUAACUUCUGCAUUGAAAGGAACUUUAGCUACUAAUAAUGAAGUUUCCAGACAAACCAGAAAAGAGGAGGAUUGGGAAGUACCUCUGGAAGCUAUUUCUGAACAGCAGACAGAUGGUUGGGACGGUUACUUGUGCAUUAAGAAAGGAAUAACAGACAACUCGUUGAUCUGCUUAUGGCAGGGAACUGGGAAGGAAAAAGCACAAGCCCUCUGGAGAAGAGGAAUACAAACAAAAAGUGGACAGGGAAGAAGGACAGGCUUUCCUCACUGCCGUAAAAAGACAAUUUCUUCAGCAGGACCCCACAGACACCUUAUUGUUUUGCAAAGGCAUGAUCUGUAUUUACAUGCGUGUUUGGGGCUCCCAAAACGAGCUCCAAAUCGGAUCGGCAUUUGCCUGACACAACUUGCUGACGUCGACGGAUUCCUUUUCAGUCGUGCAGAUAAAGUAAAACGUACAGCUCCACCUGCUGGAGGAGCCUCCUCCAUGGAUCAUCACGACGUAAUUUCCUACAAAUACACUUAGGGUGGGUCCGGAGUUGGUACGCUGAAAGGUACUGGGGAAUUUCAUUUAGCUUGCCGUUCACGCAAGCCUGCCUGCUUUGCUCCUGUGCACAGUUAUGGAGUUUGUCCUCUGCACUAAGUCACUAUCAGCAAACAACAACCAAGCAAUAAAUAAAUAAACCGAUGAAAAGAUAGAACAGUUAGAUGUUCAGAAAACAGGAAAAUGUCGUUUAUUUACAGCUUGACACAAUAACAAAGAUCCACUUCACAAGAAGCCUGGAGGAAACCAGUCAUCUUCCCCAAGCACCGUAUUCAGGCUGCCCUAUGGCUCAUUUCUGCAGCUGAGUCUUUGCCAUGGCAGCAUCUCGGCCACAUUGCUCCCUGUUCACUCCCUCUAGCAAGUCAGUAAGGAUCAUCCCAUGCCACAAGGGCCAGGUAGCGAGAGCUGCUCCUUACAAGUCCAUAAACUCUUCCAAAUUUCAUUGAAAGAAGAAGGCAUGCGGACAGAAGCUACGUCGAUAAUGAGACAAUUAGAAACACACAAAAUAUUCCCAUAGGAGCAUGAAGACCAUUGCAAAAAAAGUCAGCCAGAAAUUUAAAAUGCAACUUUGUGUUGAUAAAAAAUUCCUCCUGGGAAAAAACGUUUUUCUCCACAAGGAAUCAGCUACGUGGCAAGACUAUUCCCAUUGUUUUACAGACAUGGGAAAUGAAAUAGAAUGAAGUUAUAGUAGUUAAGAGCACAGAUCUAGGAGGAAGACACUCGUAGUCCAACUGUCAAAGCAACAGUACUGAGAAAAGACAAAGGUUUUCAAGGAGGAGUAUUAUUUUGCAAAGCACUUAGCAACUGUGGUUUCUGAAUGAUAGUAUUGAUAAAGAUGCACACCAUAACUAAAUAUAAACUUCUUCUCCUACUGUAAAUGUGGAGAUGAUCACAAUGUGGUGUAAAAUUUCAAUAUGGACAUAACAACAUCUCAGAUAAUAAGGUGAACUGCAUAAUCAGCUCCUGUAUUCGAAAAUAUACAUCUAAGCUCUCUCAUUUUGUAGUUAAGUCCCAAAAUAUCACUUAUCACCCAACAGGAUCGGGAGGCAAUACAGAUGUGAAAGACCUCUUGUCUAGUGCAAAGGCAAUCAGUAGCCUAACACAGAGCUCUGCAAUGGGAAUUUCUGCAGUAUGCCAAAGAGAAGGAGAGGAAAAGAGGAAACAGACCUACUAAGCUGUAACUUAUAACUACAUAAACCAAAUGUUCAUCACCAGAAAAGUCUGAUCAAAUCCAGGAAAAAUAAUUUCACAAAUGGCAAAGCUCCAAAACAGUGAUUCUGAUGCCUUACAUAAGGCUCAGGGAAUGUUUUCUCACAUUUGGAAUGUAUCCAAGUGUGAGAUCCAUGAUCAAUAUAGGACACAAAAUGAAAAAAUAAACCAGACACCAAAAAAAUAAAAAAAUAAAAAAAAAAUCAUGAUUGCAUUUUAAUUCCACAUUUAUUAGACAGCAGCCAGGGUGAAGAGCGAUGACUGUGUAUACUUUCAAUUAACUGCACGUUAAGUAUACAGUUUCCAUCCUUGAUAGUAUCCAUGUUUCCCUUACCAGUUAGGGGUUCCUUCCUUUGCAGUUUCUUUCUAUUCUCUGAAGCCUUGAAAGAAUGAGAUUUCAUAAAAUGAAAUGUACUUGUUAAAGAGUAUUGCUGAUCUUUUUAUUCAAGAGCUUAAUGUAGCUAUAUGUGCUCUUGAGGCAUUUAGCAACUUCAGGAAGUACCAUCAGCAAUUAGAAGAAGAAUUUAGAAUUAGAUGGGAUAAAAGCUUAUAGUGUUCUUUCUGAAAUUACUUGAGUGAAGUACUGGCUGUAUGAUUUCCUGAAGGCCUGACACUCACUGAUUCAAACAAUCCAGUUAGGAAAAGUCAAGUGGAUUGUCUAAAAUAGCUUUGAAUUAAUUUUCCCACUGCCCUAUCAUUUAGAAAUUAUUACCAGUCAGUUUCCUAACUAGUGACAGACAUAAGGAACAAAUCUUGGAUCCAAAAAUUAAUUUUCCUCAAAAUCUGGCAAACAUUCAGGUUUGAUUUUCUUAUUUGCCUGCCGACUCUGAAAAUGAGAUACAAAAGUAGACACUUUAACAUUAGUUAAUGUCUAUUUUGCUGUCAUUUAGAAAUAGAAGUAGAGUGCUCCAACACUAAGGUUUCAACUGAAGUUAUAUUCAAUACCCUGCCCAGUGUUAAGCAUGCAAGAAGUCUCAUUGAUUUUAAUAGGACUGCAGGCUUCCUCAUGCUGACUUCAUUUAAUAUAGAAGUAGUAUCUCUUUUGUCUCCUAGCAAGAAAGAGAACAGAGGAAAGCGGAUGGUCUGGGCAAACUCAAAACAGAGACAACAGAUUUUUCUGAUGUGGAGUAAGUCAAGCAGGCAAGGCAGGAGGCUCUUUUGGCAAAUAUCACUCCCAUUUCAUGAAGAAGGAUCUGGGAAGCUACAGGCCAGACAGUCUCACCUCAGUCCCUGAGAAGUUUAUGGAGUAAAUCUUCCUGAACAUCAUUUCUGAACACACAAAGGAAAUAUAGGGGAUGACUGGUUCAGUAUACAAGAGGACAGAAGUGGAUGCCACUCACUUUGACUUCAGUAAUUUUUUUUUAAUUUUCUUUUUUUCAUUUUUUUUUUAAUUUUCUUUUUUUCUGUCCAUAGUUUCACAGGACAUUUUUUCAUCCUGCCUGGGAAGGUAUGGCUUGUGUGGGUAGAACCCUAUCUGGACUGCCAGCCUCAAAGAGCUCAAAAUCCAAAGGGCAGCCAGUUGCUAGCAAUGUUGUGUUUGCAAGUGUUGAUCAGUAUCAGUAGGUAUUGUUUGAUACCUGCAUUAACAAACAGGACACAACCAAUAACUGCCUGUUACCAAUACGCUACAGACAACAGGACACGGUGUUCCCCAGAGGAUCUCUAGCCUGCAUGCUGUUUGGUGCUAUAGACUUAUGUCACUAGAAAGCAUGUACAAUAACUAGAUAAACUGUGUUGCAGUUUUUGCCCUCUGCACCUUGUCCUUUCACUGAACAUCACUGAAAAGAGUCUGAUCUCAUCCACUUGACUCCACACUUUGAGUAUUUAUAAACAGUGAUUAUACCACCUCUCAGUCUUCUCCAGGUUGAAGACUCCUAUCAUCCCAUUUCUUUAAAUGUUAAUAUAAGUGUUAGGAAUUAAAUCUCUCUG